RNAcentral lists this ribosomal RNA (690 nucleotides) under Brevundimonas sp. G7. RNAcentral describes it as "bacterial SSU rRNA". It matches the Rfam family "Bacterial small subunit ribosomal RNA", at positions 64 to 800 of the family's 1533-position model. The record is from RNAcentral. Lineage: Bacteria; Pseudomonadati; Pseudomonadota; Alphaproteobacteria; Caulobacterales; Caulobacteraceae.
GAACGAACUCUUCGGAGUUAGUGGCGGACGGGUGAGUAACACGUGGGAACGUGCCUUUUGGUUCGGAAUAACUCAGGGAAACUUGUGCUAAUACCGAAUGUGCCCUUCGGGGGAAAGAUUUAUCGCCAUUAGAGCGGCCCGCGUCUGAUUAGCUAGUUGGUGAGGUAAUGGCUCACCAAGGCGACGAUCGGUAGCUGGUCUGAGAGGAUGAUCAGCCACAUUGGGACUGAGACACGGCCCAAACUCCUACGGGAGGCAGCAGUGGGGAAUCUUGCGCAAUGGGCGAAAGCCUGACGCAGCCAUGCCGCGUGAAUGAUGAAGGUCUUAGGAUUGUAAAAUUCUUUCAGUAGGGACGAUAAUGACGGUACCUACAGAAGAAGCCCCGGCUAACUUCGUGCCAGCAGCCGCGGUAAUACGAAGGGGGCUAGCGUUGCUCGGAAUUACUGGGCGUAAAGGGAGCGUAGGCGGACAUUUAAGUCAGGGGUGAAAUCCCGGGGCUCAACCUCGGAAUUGCCUUUGAUACUGGGUGUCUUGAGUAUGAGAGAGGUAUGUGGAACUCCGAGUGUAGAGGUGAAAUUCGUAGAUAUUCGGAAGAACACCAGUGGCGAAGGCGACAUACUGGCUCAUUACUGACGCUGAGGCUCGAAAGCGUGGGGAGCAAACAGGAUUAGAUACCCUGGUAGUCCACGC